Triticum urartu is the source of this 113-nucleotide non-coding RNA. NCBI's taxonomy places the organism in Eukaryota, Viridiplantae, Streptophyta, Magnoliopsida, Poales, Poaceae. The record is from Rfam.
CUACUACUCCCUCCGUUCGGAAUUACUUGUCACAAAAAUGAAUGUAUCUAGACGUAUUUUAGUUCUAGAUACAUCCAUUUCCGAGACAAGUAAUUCCGAACGCAGAGUAGAAC